This 248-nucleotide unclassified non-coding RNA is filed under the name uncultured Sordariales. Its description in RNAcentral is "sequence contains 5.8S rRNA gene, ITS2, 28S rRNA gene". Lineage: Eukaryota; Fungi; Ascomycota; Sordariomycetes; Sordariales. The record is from RNAcentral.
AACGCACAUUGCGCCCGCUAGUAUUCUGGCGGGCAUGCCUGUUCGAGCGUCAUUUCAACCAUCAAGCCUUAGGCUUGUGUUAGGGCCCUGCGGCUGCCCGCAGCCCCCGAAAUGCAGUGGCGGGCUCGCUGUCAUACCGAGCGCAGUAGCAUAACUCUCGCUCUGGGCGUGGCGGCGGGCACUGGCCGUGAAACCCCCCAUUUCUCAAGGUUGACCUCGGAUCAGGUAGGAAUACCCGCUGAACUUAA